RNAcentral lists this ribosomal RNA (527 nucleotides) under uncultured bacterium. RNAcentral describes it as "bacterial SSU rRNA". It matches the Rfam family "Bacterial small subunit ribosomal RNA", at positions 8 to 526 of the family's 1533-position model. The record is from RNAcentral.
AGAGUUUGAUCAUGGCUCAGAUUGAACGCUGGCGGCAGGCCUAACACAUGCAAGUCGAACGGUAGCACAGAGAGCUUGCUCUCGGGUGACGAGUGGCGGACGGGUGAGUAAUGUCUGGGAAACUGCCUGAUGGAGGGGGAUAACUACUGGAAACGGUGGCUAAUACCGCAUAACGUCGCAAGACCAAAGAGGGGGACCUUCGGGCCUCUUGCCAUCAGAUGUGCCCAGAUGGGAUUAGCUAGUAGGUGGGGUAACGGCUCACCUAGGCGACGAUCCCUAGCUGGUCUGAGAGGAUGAUCAGCCACACUGGGACUGAGACACGGCCCAGACUCCUACGGGAGGCAGCAGUGGGGAAUAUUGGACAAUGGGCGAAAGCCUGAUCCAGCAAUGCCGCGUGUGUGAAGAAGGCCUUCGGGUUGUAAAGUACUUUCAGCGGGGAGGAAGGUGAUAAGGUUAAUAACCUUGUCGAUUGACGUUACCCGCAGAAGAAGCACCGGCUAACUCCGUGCCAGCCGCCGCGGUAAUAC